Molecule: ribosomal RNA, 252 nt
Filed under: uncultured Mogibacterium sp.
Lineage: Bacteria; Bacillati; Bacillota; Clostridia; Peptostreptococcales; Anaerovoracaceae
Description: partial 16S ribosomal RNA
Rfam family: Bacterial small subunit ribosomal RNA
Source: RNAcentral
UACGUAGGGGGCAAGCGUUGUCCGGAAUUAUUGGGCGUAAAGAGUACGUAGGCGGUCUGUUAAGCGCAAGGUGAAAGGCAUAGGCUCAACCAAUGUGAGCCUUGCGAACUGGCAGACUUGAGUGCAGGAGAGGAAAGCGGAAUUCCUAGUGUAGCGGUGAAAUGCAUAGAUAUCGCGCAGAACUCCGAUUGCGAAGGCAGCAUGCCGGCUCCACACUGACGCUGAGGCACGAAAGCGUGGGUAUCGAACAGG